This 253-nucleotide ribosomal RNA is filed under the name uncultured bacterium. Its description in RNAcentral is "partial 16S ribosomal RNA". It matches the Rfam family "Bacterial small subunit ribosomal RNA", at positions 524 to 776 of the family's 1533-position model. The record is from RNAcentral.
UACGGAGGGGGCUAGCGUUGUUCGGAAUUACUGGGCGUAAAGCGCACGUAGGCGGCUUUGCAAGUUAGAGGUGAAAGCCCGGGGCUCAACUCCGGAAUUGCCUUUAAAACUGCAUCGCUAGAAUUGUGGAGAGGUAAGUGGAAUUCCGAGUGUAGAGGUGAAAUUCGUAGAUAUUCGGAAGAACACCAGUGGCGAAGGCGGCUCACUGGCCCGAUACUGACGCUGAGGCACGAAAGCGUGGGGAGCAAACAGG